Molecule: long non-coding RNA, 2878 nt
Organism: Corticium candelabrum
Lineage: Eukaryota; Metazoa; Porifera; Homoscleromorpha; Homosclerophorida; Plakinidae
Exons: 8
Source: RefSeq, a predicted model, not a curated record
UCUGAUGGUUUCCCGAAACACAUGAAAACGAGGAUCCUACAGAGAGCAUCUUCGAGAUGCAAGCAAAAUGGCUUGUUUGAUGAAGCGGUAAACCCAAGGAUUUAUCGCUGACGAAUGGGAAAGUAGGCCUAUUGUUGAAGCAGAGGCCUAGAUGACAGCUGUGGAAGAUGACCUAACAGCAAAUGGUGAAAGUGGGGAGGGUUUACAGUCUGAAGCUUCGAACUUUGCUGUUGACGAUGUGAUCGAUAAGGACAACGAGGAAGGCUGCCAGUAUGAUGGUUACAGCAUUACUUUUGAUGAUGACAUCAAUGAAGACAGCCUAGGCAGUGAUCGAAACAGUCAAAUAUUAGAUCAAAGUAGAGAGAGGGAGACUGACAUCCUAUUUCGGUGUGAUGAUAAAUAUGAGGAAGGGCAGCAUAAAUUGUCUGCUCAAGCUUGUAAAGACCUAAUGCAGCUUGUUUCGGCUCACUUUUCGUUAGGUCUCUGUGCUAUGACCUCGUUGUACUGCCUGAAAUCAUAUCUUACUAAAACCUGUGCUCCUAUGAAACCAAUGAGAGCAUUUGUACGUCCCAGCUGUGAAGACUUAAUUGCAAACAGUGCAGCAGACCAAUGUAGCAGGGAGCAAUGUCAAGAAGCAACUGCAAAAUCUUAUGAAUUUUUUAUGUGAAAAAUGUACUAUCUCGACUGUUUAAAGACAGUGAAUUAUGUUUGAAACUUUCUGCUUGUUUUGAGAAAAGAAAUAAUUCUGAUAUGUCUGAUAUAACAAGCGGCAAAAGAUACAGGAAUAUGACUACUGCAUUAUUAUCGAAGUGGAAUAUCACACUGACUUUGAACACGGAUGGUGUAUCUGUUUUUAGAACUUCACGAACUGUGUCUCUUUGGCCUGUGUAUCUUACCAUUAAUGAACUUCCUCCUCAAUGCAGAUUUUCACUCAAGUAUGCCAUUGUCUGUGCUAUUUGGUUUCAUCCAUCGAAACUGUCUAUACAAGCAUUUCUACAACGUCUGAUGAGUCAGCUGAAGGAACUGUCUACAAAUGGAGAAACUUUCAAGACAGCUGAAGGAUUGCAGCUCUGCAAAGUUAAUCUGAUUUUCAUUACUUGUGAUGUACCAGGCAGGGUAAUGGUCCUUUGCAUGAAGCAGCAGAAUGGACAGUAUGCCUUUUCUUAUUGUUAUAAUCCAGGCGUUACUAUUGGCAGUGAUCACCUUUUAUUCGAUAUUGGCCGAUUAAACACCAUGCUAUUGCCAGAACCCAUGCCAGUGUUGUUAGUGAUAUGACGGAGGCAGUAGAUCUACGACAUCCAGACAGUAUUUAUUAACAAUAUGUACAUAUGUAUUUUGCAGUUACAUUUUUGUUUUGAUGCAGGUCAAGGAAAUGCUGAAUGUAGUAUCUCCACUCUUAGCAAUACCGGGAUUUGACGUAGUAGAGGGAACAGCUAUUGUCUGGAUGAACGUAGUUUGCUUGGGUAUUACUCGAUCACUGCUUGACAGGUGGCUGAAUUUUUCUGAAGAAAUCUACUUUAUUGGUGAUAAGACAAAUAUCUACAUUUAUAUAUGCACCUACUGUAAACUUUGCUAUGUAAGAGUCUUAAUUUUGUGCAGGUAACUUUCCUUGUUAAGCGUCUCCUUUCAAUUAAAGCACCUGACCACUUUAGUCGAAUUCCACAUACGCUGAAAGAGUUUUCCACAUGGAAGGGUAUUGUUAAUAAUCAGACAUUUUAUUGGUUGUCUUUAACAGUAAGAUAAUAUUUUUUAGCUAGUGAAUACAGAUCAUGGCUGUUUUACUGGUCUCUUCCAGUGCUUAGAGGAAUUCUGCCAAGAGAGUACUAUAUCCAUUACAGCUUACUUGUUGGAUGUCGUCUCCUUUGUGGAAUGAAGAUGUCUUCCAAUGAUAUUGAUAGAGCACGACAACUUUUGCUGAAGUUUUACGAAAGGCAUGAACUGCUUUAUGGUACAACAACUUGCACUAUGAAGAUGCGUAUCUUGCAGCAUCUUUCAGAGUUUGUGGAGAGAUCUGGACCAUAAUGGGCCUCGACUUGUUUCUUUUCGAAAAUUUAAAUGGAUUACUAAAAAAGUUUGUGCAUGGAACAAGAUUUGUGUCUAAUCAGAUUGCAGCUGCAGUAUUAUUGGUGCAGUCGAUUCCACAAUUGUUUCCUUCUGUAGAAGAGGAUGUGCUUUCACCUGAAGCUGUAGCAUUGAUUCAAAAAUUCGCCAUUUUCAGUACAGUCACUUAAUUUGAUAUUCCAGAAGUUGACAUUCACAGUCUUUAUAGUUUUGGGUUUCUAUAGCACUGCUGGAAAAUGUUACAGUACUUUUUUGUGCUCAUCCAAAAGGAGCUGUUCUUGAUGACAAGUACGUCGUUGCUAUCAACAAGGUACUUCAAAGAAAGGGGAAUUACCCAAUUGAUGGCAGAAGUCUUGUCACUAUAAAUAGAAAGUUAUAUGUGAAUGGUAUCAUGGUGCACAGUCGAGCUACUCAAAAGUCUAAAAGAAAUUCAUAUACUGUGGAGUGUCAUGAUGGAGAUACAGUUUUGUUUGGCUAUGUUGAACUAUUCAUUACUAAUAGGGCCCAACAGUAUGCUGUCAUUUGAAAGUUCACAUUAGAAGAAUGGCCAAUAUGUGUGCCUCAAGGAAAUGAUCUUUUAGAUAUUGUUUCUACAUUUGGAGACUUACAGGAGCUUUUGGGUGAACACUGUAUUCCUGUUUCUGAAACUGAUAAUCUGGUAGCAGUUUUACUAGACAGCGUUGUUGCUCAAGUAGUUUGCAUAGAGAUGCAUAGUUCUUCUGUUUUGUAUUUGGUACCUAUGCCGGAUUGCACUUGAAUGUGAUUUGAAUGAUAUGGAAUUUCAUCUGAUAGUAUAAAAUAAAUGUGAAAUUGUUGA